Molecule: long non-coding RNA, 451 nt
Organism: Hipposideros armiger (great roundleaf bat)
Lineage: Eukaryota; Metazoa; Chordata; Mammalia; Chiroptera; Hipposideridae
Exons: 3
Source: RefSeq, a predicted model, not a curated record
CAAAGAAUGGAAAUUUCCAAUUGCAGCAUCAAGGGCUGCUGUUCUGCUGACUGUCUUGCUCAGCCAGGGUCAUCUGCUUCUCUAAGACAUCAAGGAAUGCCAAGCAACUAGGUAAAGGAAGAGGCAAUUGGUUUGGUGGCCUCCACUGAUGGCCCAGAGGAACUAACAACCGAUGGGCUCGGGACUAGUUCCUACACGCUUCCGAUUCUCAGUCUGAGGCACAAACAGAGCCCAAGAAGAAUUUGACCAUUCAAGAAGCGGCUCUUGCAAGCAACGAUGUGUCUCUGCAGAGCUGGGCAAGCUUGGAUCUGCAAGUACAUGAUAAGACAAAACACGAAACGGAGGAGCACAAUACUGGAUGGUUGAAGGGGAAUGACUGUAGCUCAGUUUAGUUGGAGACCUGGGUAGUUGUACCUCUGGCCCCCUUCCGCUGGGAAUAAGGUCUUCAGGA